Molecule: long non-coding RNA, 257 nt
Filed under: Elaeis guineensis (African oil palm)
Lineage: Eukaryota; Viridiplantae; Streptophyta; Magnoliopsida; Arecales; Arecaceae
Description: long non-coding RNA (EGUI_LNC059207)
Source: RNAcentral
UCCAAAGCCAAUCUAAUUGAAUCCAAUUCAAUUAGAUCUGAUCCAAUCUUCAUUGCUCAAUCAAAUUGAGUCAAUUAACAAUCAUAUUGUUAAUUAAUUAUUUUUUUAAUUUAUCAACCACUAGUAAAUAAUUUAUUAUAACUUUUGUAAAGGAUUAAUCAUCAAUCACAUUGAUAAUUAAAUCCUUCAACGAUUCAUAAUCAUUGAUCAGCCAUUUGAUCAGACAGGUACUUCUAUGUGUGUAACCCCAUAGGUUC